UAUGUGAACCUUACCGUCGUUGCCUCGGCGUGAGCUACGGCUACCCUGUAGUUACCCUGGAGCUACCCUAUAGCUACCCUAUAGCUACCCUGUAGUUACCCUAUAGCUACCCUAUAGUUACCCUGCAGCUACCCUAUAGGUACCCUGGAGCUACCCUGUAGACGGCUUAUGGCCCGCCGAAGGACCGCUAAACUCUUGUUUUUAUUGCUGUUAUUCUGAAUUAUAAACUAAAAUAAGUUAAAACUUUCAACAACGGAUCUCUUGGUUCUGGCAUCGAUGAAGAACGCAGCGAAAUGCGAUAAGUAAUGUGAAUUGCAGAAUUCAGUGAAUCAUCGAAUCUUUGAACGCACAUUGCGCCCAUUAGUAUUCUAGUGGGCAUGCCUAUUCGAGCGUCAUUUCGACCCCUAAGCCCCUGUUGCUUAGUGUUGGGAAUCUACGGCGUAGUUCCUUAAAGUUAGUGGCGGAGUUAGGGUACACUCUCAGCGUAGUAAUAUCUCUCGCUCGUGUGGUGGCCCUGGCUGCUAGCCGUUAAAACCCCUAUAUUUUUUAGUGGUUGACCUCGAAUUAAGUAAGAAUACCUGCUGAACUAAAGCAUAUCAAUAAGCCGAAAGGAAGGA
RNAcentral lists this ribosomal RNA (617 nucleotides) under Hypoxylon sp. HS-EF24. RNAcentral describes it as "eukaryotic LSU rRNA". The stretch from base 242 to 395 matches the Rfam family "5.8S ribosomal RNA". The record is from RNAcentral. Lineage: Eukaryota; Fungi; Ascomycota; Sordariomycetes; Xylariales; Hypoxylaceae.